ACUAACUAACCUUUGUGGGGAGGAUACUUUUCUUCUAACCAGAAAAUUGGAGAAACUCCGAAUUAAGAGGAUGGAGCUGUUAUCUUCACUGGUGUUCCUCAAAAGAUACAGAAAUUCAAAGGAGUGAAGUCCAUGUGCAAAACGGUGGAAAUUGCUGCUUCAGCUCUUUGGAACCAAUUGCAUUCUCCAAUGGCACAGCGCACCUGCGGUAUACAUUUACUCAGGCCCCGUCACAGAGACGACCUCUCUCUUUGUGCCGAUACGUGUUCUCUCUCUGUGUGUAUCUUUAUCAUGUCUGUCUGCUUAUGUCUGUCUAUAGUUUUCUGGUUAGAUUUUUGUUGCUAUUUCUUUUAUACCUGAUGACGAUUGCUUGUGUUGCAAUGGAAACGUCGUAGUAUGCUAUUAUUUAAUUUAUUAUUUUAUCUUUAUACGUGACUUUACCGAAAGAACCAAAGAAUAUAAAGGCAUAGCCACAGCGAGGAAAUGCUGGAUUCAGUGUACCGACCCAGACCUGUCUAAAAUCAAUAUGAAUGUAGAAUGUAUAGAUGCACAUGGUAAUUUUCCAAGAAUGCAGAGCUCCAACUAUUAUGGGACUGAGCUGAAGUCCUCCGACAUGUAAUGUCUACAACAAUUUUGAGGACUUAACGAAACACUGUCCUCCCAUCCAUAUCGUGUUCAACUACCAUGCAUACUGGAGGUCAAAAUACUUCUCUUUUUGC
This is a long non-coding RNA of Lethenteron reissneri (Far Eastern brook lamprey), 719 nucleotides long. RefSeq lists it as uncharacterized. The record is from RefSeq and is a predicted model, not a curated record. NCBI's taxonomy places the organism in Eukaryota, Metazoa, Chordata, Hyperoartia, Petromyzontiformes, Petromyzontidae.